This 253-nucleotide ribosomal RNA is filed under the name uncultured bacterium. RNAcentral's name for it is "partial 16S ribosomal RNA". It matches the Rfam family "Bacterial small subunit ribosomal RNA", at positions 524 to 776 of the family's 1533-position model. The record is from RNAcentral.
UACGGAGGGUGCAAGCGUUAAUCGGAAUGACUGGGCGUAAAGGGCACGCAGGCGGUCUGUCAAGUCGGAUGUGAAAUCCCCGGGCUUAACCCGGGAACGGCAUUCGAAACUGGCAGGCUGGAGUCUCGUAGAGGGGGGUAGAAUUCCAGGUGUAGCGGUGAAAUGCGUAGAGAUCUGGAGGAAUACCGGUGGCGAAGGCGGCCCCCUGGACGAAGACUGACGCUCAGGUGCGAAAGCGUGGGGAGCAAACAGG